AUUUUGAUUUAUUUUAGUCUUCCGCUGUAUGAUCUUGAAAAAGUUUCAAGAUCUAACCCUGAAACCCUAGAUCUGGUUCCUACAGUAGCUCUCCUUUGGGCAGGCUUUAUUCAGCUUUUUGAAGUCUAUACACAUCCUCCACUUGUCAUUUGCCUUUUUGACUAGGACGAUGUUGGAAAUUCAAUCAGGAUAAUUGACUUCUCUAAUGAAUCUGACUUUCAGGAGUUUGUCCACUUCUUCGGCUAUCAUUUUCUACCUCUCCGGUGCAUGGCCUCGAACUUUUUCUUUCAUUGAUCAGUACUUUGGAUCGACGGCC
RNAcentral lists this long non-coding RNA (316 nucleotides) under Elaeis guineensis (African oil palm). RNAcentral describes it as "long non-coding RNA (EGUI_LNC071552)". The record is from RNAcentral. Lineage: Eukaryota; Viridiplantae; Streptophyta; Magnoliopsida; Arecales; Arecaceae.